GAUCAUGGCUCAGGACGAACGCUGGCGGCGCGCCUAACACAUGCAAGUCUAACGAGAGAUGAAGAGCUUGCUCUUCAAAUCGAGUGGCGAACGGGUGAGUAACGCGUGAGGAACCUGCCUCAAAGAGGGGGACAACAGUUGGAAACGACUGCUAAUACCGCAUAAGCCCACAGCUCGGCAUCGAGCAGAGGGAAAAGGAGUGGUCCGCUUUGAGAUGGCCUCGCGUCCGAUUAG
Molecule: ribosomal RNA, 234 nt
Filed under: uncultured bacterium
Lineage: Bacteria
Description: partial 16S ribosomal RNA
Rfam family: Bacterial small subunit ribosomal RNA
Source: RNAcentral